RNAcentral lists this ribosomal RNA (433 nucleotides) under uncultured bacterium. RNAcentral describes it as "partial 16S ribosomal RNA". It matches the Rfam family "Bacterial small subunit ribosomal RNA", at positions 29 to 507 of the family's 1533-position model. The record is from RNAcentral.
AACGAACGCUGGCGGCAUGCCUAACACAUGCAAGUCGAACGAGACCUUCGGGUCUAGUGGCGCACGGGUGCGUAACGCGUGGGAACCUGCCCUUAGGUUCGGAAUAACUCCCCGAAAGGGGUGCUAAUACCGGAUAAUGUCUUCGGGCCAAAGAUUUAUCGCCUUUGGAUGGGCCCGCGUUGGAUUAGCUAGUUGGUAGGGUAAAAGCCUACCAAGGCGACGAUCCAUAGCUGGUCUGAGAGGAUGAUCAGCCACACUGGGACUGAGACACGGCCCAGACUCCUACGGGAGGCAGCAGUGGGGAAUAUUGGACAAUGGGCGAAAGCCUGAUCCAGCAAUGCCGCGUGAGUGAUGAAGGCCUUAGGGUUGUAAAGCUCUUUUACCCGGGAUGAUAAUGACAGUACCGGGAGAGUAAGCUCCGGCUAACUCCGUG